Molecule: unclassified non-coding RNA, 23 nt
Filed under: Mus musculus (house mouse)
Lineage: Eukaryota; Metazoa; Chordata; Mammalia; Rodentia; Muridae
Description: oocyte_clustered_small_RNA1600
Source: RNAcentral
UAAAGGACGAUUGCUGCCGAGAG